CAAGCGUUACUCGGAAUUACUGGGCGUAAAGCGUGCGCAGGCGGUGAUGUAAGACAGUUGUGAAAUCCCCGGACUCAACCUGGGAACUGCAUCUGUGACUGCAUCGCUGGAGUGCGGCAGAGGGGGAUGGAAUUCCGCGUGUAGCAGUGAAAUGCGUAGAUAUGCGGAGGAACACCGAUGGCGAAGGCAAUCCCCUGGGCCUGCACUGACGCUCAUGCACGAAAGCGUGGGGAGCAAACAGG
RNAcentral lists this ribosomal RNA (242 nucleotides) under uncultured bacterium. RNAcentral describes it as "partial 16S ribosomal RNA". It matches the Rfam family "Bacterial small subunit ribosomal RNA", at positions 535 to 776 of the family's 1533-position model. The record is from RNAcentral.